Molecule: RNA transcript, 13376 nt
Organism: Panicum virgatum (switchgrass)
Lineage: Eukaryota; Viridiplantae; Streptophyta; Magnoliopsida; Poales; Poaceae
Gene name: 4-hydroxy-tetrahydrodipicolinate synthase 1, chloroplastic-like
Exons: 5
Source: RefSeq, a predicted model, not a curated record
AAUAGGAGCAGAGGCAGACAGAUUAACAAAGUGCUGUUGUGCUCGUGUCAAGCGACAAGUGGGUUCGUGCGAAGAGUCCACCAGCGAAGAAUCCUGAUCCGCAUCGUCCUCUCCGCCUCCGGUGCCAGCACGCCUUGGCAUUCCAAUCUCUCCCGCACCUUGUCCCCUGCCGGCCGACGACGUUUACCAUCGGGAUUUGCUUCCCGGCCCCAUCGUUACCGCGUCCCCAGUCCCCUCCACCUGCCAGCCGCUAUCUCCUCUUGCGCGGGGCGGCCUCGGAGGAGGAUGAGCAAAUGGCUCACCAGAUGCUCCUCGGUACCCUGCGCACCAACGUGCUCAUCAAUCCCACCUGCGUCACCGGCGGCCGCGCAGCGUUACCAAGGUCGUCCGCAAGAAUAUGCAGACGGAAAUUUGCAGUCGCAGCCAUCUCAGGCGAUUAUCUCCCGAUGCGAAGUACUGAAGCGAAAAAUCGGACAUCAAAAAGUGACAUCAGAAGCCUCAGACUAAUGACAGCAGUCAAAACACCUUAUUUACCAGAUGGGAGAUUUGAUCUCGAAGCGUAUGAUUAUUUGAUCAAUAUGCAGAUAGAGGGUGGUGCUGAAGGUGUAAUAGUUGGAGGAACAACAGGAGAGGGUCACCUUAUGAGCUGGGAUGAGCACAUCAUGCUCAUUGGGCAUACUGUCAAUUGCUUCGGCACUAGAAUUAAAGUGAUAGGGAACACAGGAAGUAACUCAACUGGAGAGGCCGUUCAUGCGACCGAGCAGGGAUUUGCCGUCGGCAUGCAUGCAGCUCUUCACAUCAAUCCUUACUAUGGGAAGACUUCAACUGAAGGAAUGAUCGCUCAUUUCAAGGCUGUCCUCCCAAUGGGUCCAACCAUCAUUUACAAUGCUCCAUCAAGGACUGGACAGGAUAUCCCCCCUCCAGUCAUUGAGGCACUUUCAAGUCAUCCAAACAUUGCAGGUGUGAAAGAAUGUGUCGGACAUGAGAGGGUCAAGUGCUACACAGACAAAGGUAUUUCAGUAUGGAGUGGCAAUGAUGAUGAAUGCCAUGAUUCAAGGUGGAAAUAUGGUGCCAUUGGAGUUAUCUCUGUGACUAGCAACCUUGUUCCUGGUCUCAUGCACAGUCUCAUGCAUGAAGGGGAGAACGUGACCCUAAAUGAGAAACUGUUGCCUCUGAUAAAAUGGUUAUUUUGCGAACCAAAUCCAAUUCCUCUGGACACUGCUCUGGCUCAGCUCGGGGUUGCAAGGCCUGUUUUGAGAUUGCCAUACAAGGCUCUUCCUAUUGAGAAGAGGGUUGAGUUUGUCCGGAUUGUUGAUGCUAUUGGACGGGAACACUUUAUUGGAAAUAGAGAGGCAAGGGUUCUUGAUGACGAAGAUUUCAUCUCGAUCUGUCGGUAAACAUGGGCAUUAAGGUCUUUCACCUCUCAAGAUAGACCAUCGGUCUUAUGAAAACUUGAAAAGCAGGACUGAUAAACAGCUAUCCUUCAGUCAGUACUUAGUGUUGGGGAGCCACCUUCGGGCAGCGGUGCGAAGGCAAGAGGACCCGAAGACAGGACAAGAUGACCGAGCGCGCCCUGAUAAGCGAAGGCCUCGAAGCGAAGACCCUUUGACGAAGACCCAAGAGCGAGGGCUUCGGAUCUAGGGGCAACAGAUGGUUCCUGUCCAGCGCGGUGGCGAAGGGGAGACGGCGAAGGCUGAAGUGCGAAGGUUGACCAAGUGAGGAUGCAGUGAAGAAGUUGAGUGAUGAAGACCGAACUCGAAGCCCUGGUCGAAGAUACUCAUGGCGAAGUGUCCCGAAGAUGAGCUGAGGCCUACUUGUCAGUCUAGCUGUAAUUCCACUACAUUGUGUCGAUCGCUGUAACAUUACGAGAUUACCCUGGGAAUAUUCCCAGAUGCUGGCAGUUAGGGGUUAGUUAAGGGAUUUUGGCCAGGGAGUAGGUGAACCGUUGGGCUAUAAAUACCCCCCUGUAACUAUGCAAUGAUGAUUGAAUACAGAGCAAUUAUGCCUUUGCUUUGAUUUUCGUGCUGUCUCUCUGGUUGUGAUUGUUUUCUCGGGGCUUCGUCCCCGACGAACCGUGCUGUUGUGACACUCCUUUGCUCUGAAGGGUGUCAUACACCAACAGUUUUGGCGCCCACCCGCGGUUCGUCCUAACACGACCACAUGGCAGCGAAGAAGAAACCAAACCCUGGCGCUUCGGAGACCAACGCUUCGGCCGAAGCCCCACCUUCGAACGACAACACCCUCGCCCCAAACGACAACGAAGACCAUGGCGAAGACUUCGAAGUCAAAGACCUCGCCGACGGGGACUUCGAGGUCGAUCUCCACGACCUUGGCAUCUCCGCUGAAGACAUUCAAGUCAUGAAGAAGAUUUACGCACGCCUCUCCGAGCGUCUCCGUCAAGCGCAGCAAGCUCAGGCCGGCACGUCAAAUACGCCGGUGGCAACAAGAGCGAAGGGAAAAGGGCAUGAGCUCACCACUGAAGAGCUAGAGGAGCAACUCAACAAGUUAAAAGAAGAAGAGCUUCGCUGCAAGGCAAUGCGGCAGUCCAUUCGAGAUCGUCUGGUAAUGAUGAAACCCCUUCGCCAAGACCCUAAACCCGUGCAACAGGCGCCUCAGCCCCAAAGACUUCGCCAACAACCCAUUCUCAUUGAAGAACAGUACUCGGACGAAGAGGAAGGCGAGUACGUGAUGCCACAUCAGCUUCGACCGCAACAAGGCCUCGCCACGCCUCUCUCCGCAAAGUUCGAAGAGCUCCCGUGGCCUCCACGCUUCAACCCCACUAUUCUCCCGCAAUUCGACGGAGACUCCGACCCAAAAAGAUUUCCUCCUCAAGUACGAAGCGGCCAUCGAAGCAUCCGGAGGCGGCCCGGCAUGCAAAGUCAAAGCAUUCGUCCUCUCGCUCAAGGGCCUCGCUCAGCAUUGGUGCUCCAACCUCCCAGGCGGCCACAUCCACACAUGGGACCAGCUCCGAAGAGAGCUCACCGCCACUUUUAGAGCGCCGAAGCCUGAAGAAGUCAAUUCAUGUGACUUCCACAACCUAAAGCAAGAAGGAUCCACACUGCAAGAGUACUUGCAUCGUCUCGUCAGGCUUCGCGCAAGGGCUCUAGAUGUAGCGGAGAAGACCAUCAUCGAUGCCGCGAUCGCAGGCUUAAGUCUUGGCCCGUGCGGAGAGUACCUCGAGCGCCGUAGGCCAAAGACCCUGAAUAGGCUCUUCGAGAUUAUGCAAGAAUAUUGCAUCUCAGACAAAGAAAAGCGCCGGAGAAUCGAAGAGAUGAAUGAGAAGAGAUCGCGCAAUCGCGAUCGACCGAAGCCACAUCAGGUUUAACAAGCGAAGACCCCGAAGGCCGUGAACACAGUCUCCGGCGACGAAGCCCGCGACUCCCAGCCUCAGAACAACAGAGGAGGGAGGAGCGACCGAAGCAACUCCAACCGGGGUCGGAGGGAAAACUCCGGCCGAAGGCAGAAAGAAUCCUACUGCUGCAUUCAUGGCAGAGACAAAGGUCAUUGGACGAGUGAGUGCCCCCUCGUCAAAGAGAAGAAAGAAGAAUUGGACCGAGCCGCAAACACCGAACAACCGCCGAAGCCCGUCAAUUACACUCACAACAGCCAGCCGCGAGGCCCACCACCACAAAUACAUUGGCAGCCUCCACAACAACCUCAUUGGACUUCGGCAUAUCCCACUCUAUCACCAUCCUUCCCAACCUUCCACUACAACCCCACAUACACCCCACCAGCCCUUCCAGCACCUUCGGCGCCCCAACUCCCGCAAAUCCAAACCCCUUCAGCGCCACAUCAAGAGUGGCACCCACAACCCUAGCCACAAGCUUCCACCUACCUCCCCCCACCGCCAAAGCUAGAACUUGGUACGAUCCCAGAGAGAGCCAAUGAUCUGGUCGGAGGCAAGGUGAACGUCAUCAAUGCCAUCUCCGGCGGAUUGAAUGAGCCAGUACACGAGAUGAAGCGUCAGAGGAAAGAAUACCUCCGCACUGUCUCGCAUGUCUGCGAAGGCAAGCAUUUCCGCACUCCCUGGUCUCACGUCCCAAUCACCUUCUCCGAAGCCGACUUCAGGCUUCAACACUACCCACACAACGACCCCCUUGUUAUUCGUGCAAACAUUGGUAGAAAUUCUGUACACUUCGCGGGAAACGACGUAAGUCGGAUCCUUGUUGACAACGGCAGCUCCGCAGAUGUUCUCACUUGACAAUGCUUUGUGAAGAUGGGGUUCACAGAGAAGAACCUGCACAAGUCUCAGUACCCGCUUAUUGGCUUCAGGGGCAAAAGAAUCGAAGCCCUCGGCAAAAUAGAGUUGAAUGUGACCUUUGGAGAAGGCAAUACCCAGAGAACAGAGCUCAUCACUUUCGAUGUGGUAGACAUUGCCUACCCAUACAAUGCCAUCUUCGGCCGCAACAGCAUCAUCAAGUUCGCAGCAGUUAUCAACCAAGCUUACUUAUGCAUGAAAAUCCCGACAGCCGGAGGAGUCAUCACGAUCCUCGGCAAUCAGGAAGAAGCAAGAAGAUGCGAAGACAAUGCAGCGUGCGCCAUGAAAAAUGUGCACGCAAUCGAAGCUGCUAACAAUAAUGAGGAAGAGGAGGAAGCGAAGCCACCCAGUUUUGAGCAACACAACAAAGAAGGGGUUAUGCCAGCUGAGCACACCAAAAAAGUUCUGCUCUGCGAAGAUGUUCCGGAUCGCACAGUAAUGAUAGGCAGAGGCCUAGAGGAAGCUGAAGAGUCUAGGUUGAUCUAGUUCUUGAGAAAUAACCAGAAUGUCUUCGCAUGGUCAUCUUCGGACCUGCGAGGAGUCAGUCGAGAAGUCAUAGAGCAUGAGCUGAGGGUGGACCCGAAGGUUAAGCUCCGGAAACAGCGUCUUCGCACGAUGUCCGAAGACCAAAAAAAGCCGCUCAAAGCGAAGUCCAGAAGCUGCUUGAUGCGGGCGUAAUCCGCGAAGUGCAAUACCCAGAAUGGCUGGCGAAUGUUGUCAUGGUCCCGAAGAAGAAUGGAAGUUGGAGAAUGUGCAUCGACUUCACCGCCUUAAACAAGUUAUGUCCGAAGGAUGAGUUCCCCUUGCCUCGCAUUGACACCUUGGUAGAUGCAGCAGCAGCAGGGUCAGAAAUGUUAAGCAUGUUAGAUUGUUUUUCCAGCUACCAUCAAAUCUUCAUGAAGAAGUCAGAUGAGGAGAAGACCAGUUUUACUACUCCCUUCGGCACCUACUGCUAUGUAAGAAUACCUGAGGGGCUUCGCAACGCAGGUUGCACGUUCAACAGAACCAUCGCAGCGGUGCUUGACAUCCAGCUGGAUAGGAACAUCUCCGCAUACGUCGACGAUGUCGUCGUGCGAAGCAAAAAACGUGAAGAUCACAUUUUAGAUCUUCGAGAGACCUUCGCCAACCUUCGUAAGCACGGGCUCAAACUGAACCCAAAAAAGUGUGUCUUCGGCGUAAGAAGGGGAAAACUUUUAGGGUGCAUGAUCACUGAGAGAGGCAUCGAGGCAAACCCAGUAAAGAUCGAAGCCAUCAGAAGAAUGAAACCACCCACAACGAAGAAGGAGGUCCAGAAGUUGACAGGCCGUCUGCUUCCCUGAAUAGGUUCAUUUCGCGGUCCGCAGAAAAGUCACUCCCUUUCUUCAAAGUUCUUAAAGGCUCAGAAAAUUUUCACUGGGGUCCUGAGCAAGACAAAGCCUUCGAAGAUAUAAAGCAGUACCUGAAAAACCUCGCCGUAAUGACAAGCCCUUCGCCUGGGGUAGAGCUCCUGUUAUACAUUGCAACUUCAAGCUCCGCAGUGAGCGCAACGCUGGUCGAAGAGAGAAUGGUCGAAGACACUUUGAAGCAGUUACCAAUCUACUUCGUAUCCGAAGCCCUCAGCGGAUCGAAGUUGUUGUACUCCGAAAUGGAAAAGAUGGCCUAUGCAGUGGUAAUGGCAGCCAGGAAGCUUCGCCAUUAUUUUAAGAGUUUCAAGAUCAAGGUCCCGACAUCUUUUCCCCUUCGGGACAUGUUUGAAAACAGGGAAGCCUCAGGAAGAAUUGAAAAAUGGGCAACACAGUUGGCAUCGCACACCAUUGAUAUUGUCCCGCGAAGCGCAAUCAAGUCCCAGGUCCUAGUAGACUUCGUCGCUGACUGGACACCAUCAGCACUUUCGCAGAGCCCUCCGGUCAUUGAAGCAAUCUGGAAUCUAGAAUGUGAUGGAGCCUACUGCAAGAACGGCUCAGGCACUUCGGCAAUCCUCACAGCACCUUCGGGAACUCAACUCAAGUAUGCAGCAAGGCUGGAUUUUCCAGGAUGCACAAACAAUGUCACUGAAUAUGAAGGCUUGCUUCUAGGCCUUCGCAAGGCACAAGCACUUGGAGCGAGGAGGCUGUCUAUCAAGUCCGACUCCGAGAUCAUCACCAACCACAUUGGCAAAACAUACAGAGCACUCAAACCAGAACUAGCAAAGUAUUUGGCAGCAGUUCGCAGUAUGGAAAAAUAUUUUCUGGGUUUCAGUGUGCGAAGCUUCCCUAGACUAUAGAACAAACAGGCAGAUGUCUUGGCAAAGGCUGCAGCAGAAAACGAUCCAUUGCCUUCGGAUGUGUUUUUUGAAACACUCAGGAGUGACUCAAUAAAUUGUGCCGAAGAGCCAGCAAAAUUUAUCAAUGCAAUCUCGAGCGAAGACUUGAGGUCAAUGAUAAUUGCUUACCUUCGGGGACACUUUGUCCCGAAGGACGAGAAAGAGGAAAAAAGACUUGCCCUUCGAGCGCGAAGCUACUCAAUCGUCAACGACACGUUGUAUCGAGGGGGUGUUUGUGCACCUUUGCUAAAGUGCAUCUCGCAAGCUGAAGGCAGGCAGUUGUUGCAAGAAAUACACACAGGCAUGUGCUCUUCGCACAUCGGAACAAGGGCUCUGGUGGGAAAAGCCUUUCGUGAAGGGUUUUAUUGGCCUUCGCCCGUGGCGGACGCCCAUGAAAUCGUACGCACGUGCCCAAAUUGUUAGAAGCACGCCCAUUACAGCAAGUUCCCGCCAGAAGAAGUCCACCUCAUACCUCCGGUCUGGCCCCUCGCACGAUGGGGCAUCGACAUUGUGGGUCCCCUCCCAACAGCUCCAGGCAACUUCAAGUAUGCAGCAGUCGCAGUAGAGUACUUUUCAAAGUGGAUCGAAGCCAAGGCGCUUCGUGAUAUCACGGCCGCUACCUUGCAGAAAUUUUUCUGGCAGAAUAUUAUAUGCCGCUUCAGCGUACCCAAAGAAGUCACAGUAGACAAUGGCAAGCAGUUUGACUGUACUACAUUCAGAGAGUUCUGUCAACAAUUGGGAACCAAGUUGUGCUUCGCCUCAGUGUACCAUCUGCAGUCAAAUGGGGCAGUCGAAAGAGCAAACGGUAUCAUCUUCUCCGGAAUCAAGAAAAACAUCACAGAACAGCCGAAGGGCAAGUGGGUUGAUGAGCUAACAAAAUGCACUCCCUUCAAACUCCUCUAUGGCGAAGAGGCAUUGACACAAGAAAAAUUUCGCCAUGGAUCCUACAGAAUCGAAGCACCUGACGAAGAUAUCAAGCCAACGAUCGACACGAUCGAAGCCAUCAAAACACAAGCGGCAAUCAACCUCGGCAGGUACCAGGAGGAAACCCGAAGGUGGCGCAACAAGAAGGUGAGGCCUCGGGAAAUCAAAGAGGGCGACUUCGUUCUUCAUCGCAUCUCAAAGAGCAAGCAACAAGGAAAAAUGCACAGCAAAUGGGAAGGACCUUUCCUGGUCGCUUCGAUGGCAAGACCCGAAGCCUGCAGGCUUCGUACACUUAAGGAGUCGAAGAGCCAUACUCCUGGAACAAAGACAUGCUUCAGCGCUACUAUGUCUAGUUUCCCGCGAAUUUCUUGUAAUAAAUUGUAAUCUUAUUCAGCAUUAGCUUGAACAAUGUAUCCAAGGGCCCGUACUCUUUUCCUCACAGGGGAAGCCUUCGCGCAAUCGCUGUGAUUGUCGAAGGUGUGAGGUUUUUAACGAGACGGAAACCCGAUGUAACCCCUUGUGAAAUAUAAGCAAGAUCCCCAGGAAGAACUAGCAUAUGAGUAGGCACCGAAGCAUCUAUCCCCCUUCGUCGCAGCGAAGGGGGGAGUCAUCGGUGCAUUAUGCGUGACUAACACUUUGAGAAAUGAGCUCAGGGCUCGCGAAGCGGAACGGCCCGCUGCACCCUAGAGUCUUAGUUCUUAUUUUUUUCUCAGUCGAAAAAGACCUUCCGCACAGGGCGCCGAAGGCACAAAAAGUCCUAUCGCGCAAAAGCCGAAGGACCAGGGCUUGCCUAAGCGUGCUAAAGAGCCGAAGGCCCCCACUAUAAAUAUAAGUCCCUCCGCGCCAAAUCGGCGAGGGUAUGGAAAGUCCUAUCGUGCGAAAACCGAAGGCUAGAGCCACCUAAGCGAGCAAAAGUGCCGAAAGUCCCCCUACCAAAAGCCCUUCGGAACAUAGUUCUGAAGGCACUUGCAAUCUGCUCAACGAAUGUGGUGUGCCCCAACCCUCCAAGAACGCAAAAGGUGGGGGUGGCGCUUCGCAACUAAUAAAUGGCUUCGCCAAAUAUAGAAGGAGCAUCGCAUUCGAUAAGAAUAAUUUUUAUUAUGAAUGUCGCCCUCCAAGAACGCAAAAGGGGGGGUGGCGCUUCGAAGACAAUACAAAGCGUCCUCGAAGGGACGAAUUCUCACUUUAAUAAUAGCGGCGUUUCUAACAUAGUAAAAAUUGCAAACAAAAUGGAAAGGCGGGGCUUCGCGUAGUCGAAGACCCAUAUACGCGAAACGAAAAGUAUCACCCUCCAAGCACAACAAAGCGAAGGGUGGCGCUUCGCUAACAAAAUCAACACUGUCCUCGAAGGGACUCACUUUUCGAUUAAACAAUAAAAUCCGACAUUUACACAAUUACUUUUACAAAGAGGGCUUCGCCCAUCAAAUUGAUUACACAGUUACACUCGAUAUUUCCUCUUCGAAUACAAUGCGGUCCACAUCUUCGAUGACCAUGCGGACCGCGCGGUCAAUUAUCUCUUCGGCCGUCUUCCGCAAAUAUGCUUCAAAUUCCGGGCCUGAAAACGAACGAAGCCCGUCGUGAGUCUCAUUCGGACACAAUGUCCCCUUGCCGACGAUAUGCAAAAUAUCCGGUGUCGGAGACUUCGUCGACGGGUUCUGGUUUGGGUUCAAGCAGCCCUCUCGCAUGCGUGUAAGGGCGUUCCGUGUCUAAAAUACGCUUCGUCUCGCGACGAAGCGAUCUAUCAGCAAGAAUCUUCGCUUGUUUCUCCGGGUCACGCGAAAACUCAGCCCAAAAGUAUUUGGAGUUCGCAUUAUCUCUAUCAUAUUUCCGUUCCAAACGCUCCCACCAUUCCGCAAACGAACCCAGGGAUGAUCAUAAUUAUACUUCGCCUAGCCCCCCCUCGGAACAUGAAAAGAACCACAUCGCAUCCAUAAAGGCAGGAUACCUUCGGUUAUCCGCGCAGGGUCCUGCGCAGACACCGAAGGCGUUAGUUUCUUACAAAACAUUGUUUCCUUCAAAAUAGUUACAUCCAGAAUUCAUUGCCCCGUGGCAUUUACAUCAUUUGCCGAAGGAGCGCCAAGGCCACUUUCGCCCUCAGCAGUCGUUGCUGCUCCGUCUGCCGAAGUACUCUGAAGAUUCCCAGCAUUGGCAGGGCUGAGGAAGGCGCCUGCGAAGGCUUCGGCGUUGUCCUGAAGCUGCAAAGGAAACCGAAGUUAAUAUCGAAACAAAACAUAAUGGCACUGCCCUAAAACCACAAACAUACCUGUUUCUAGAGUCUCUCCGCCUCGGCUCGGACGAGGUCCCUCCCGCAUGUCUUGAAGAAACUUGCCGUGAAAUUCUUGGCAAUGUUCUUUGGAGGGGGGGGCGCAGAGCUUCGGGGCGGACCUCAUCAGGCGAAGGCCAAUCAAAAGUGGAAUCACGCAUUGAUCGCAAUUGAGCCUUCGACACAGAAGCUUCGGCACCACCGCCAUCAGGAAGAAACUUGCAGAUGGCAGCGCUAAGGGAUCGCACUGCCACCGCAGCACUUAAGUCGCCCAUCGCACGGUUAACGGAGAUGGCCAUGGAGACAAGCGCGAAGCCAUCGAAACAAUUCGGAUAUAGAAAUAGUAUUGACCGUCGGAGAGGUCGGGAGCGGAUAGGCCCAUAAUCUUCAGGAAGGCAGCAAUCUCCAGCUGAAGAGGUUCGGCACCAGCACGAACAACUUCGCGGUAAGCAUUGAUUGCCUGAGUAGCAGCCUGCUCCCGGCACUCUGCGUCCUUCAAUUCUCGCUCAUUCGCCUCCAACGACCAGCGAAGUUCUGCCAUCUCAACCUUGGCGGCCUCGGUCUCACGGCGGGCGGCUUGCAACUCCGUUUCUGCGCUGGCGCGCGAAGUGGACAGCUCAGCUUCAAGCGUGGCUUUCUCUUCCUCCAGGCCAGAAACCUUCUGCUCCAAACUUGCGAUGCGCAAAGGCUGCUCACGCUCUGCAUUCAACAGGCGGCUGGCACACCUCGCUGCAACAUAGGAUUUCAGCGCAAGGUCUUCGGCGCAGCGCAGAGCGUUUCCGGCCCCAGUCAGCAUGAGCCUUCGCUCCAUGAGCGGAAAGCAGAAUGAGUCCCCCGCUUCGGUCAAAUAGUCCCGCUCAUGUUGCCCACUCUCGAAGCGAAGUUUCCCAACAACCUGGCCACCAAUGAUCCUCGCAUUCUUCAUCCCAAGAGCCUCCGCAAUCUCAGGUUUAGACUGACUCAUCAAAUAGCCGCUGCUUUCCGAGGAGCUCGAGUCAUCUGUGGUACCCUCGACAGCGAUCUGUUUUCCCUUCGCAGCCGCACCCGAAUCUACAACAUUAACCUCCUCCUCCUCCUCCUCCUCCUCCUCCUACGUAGAAGACGAAGCCGUCCUCUCGGUACAUUUCUCGACUUCUGCAACCGAGCCGGCAGCAUUGCGGGGUUUUGGAGCAACUUCUUCAUCGCUCACCGGCUCCAGCUCGCUGAAUUGCAACGAGAAGGCAGGUCUUGCACGCUCCGGAGCCACAUUAACCGGAGCAGCGGGGCUUCGCGCUGCUGUCGCACUGUCUCCGCUCGACUCCACCUUCUCUUCAGAAUCCCCCGUGCUGCGAAGAGGGGAUUGGGUGAGGAUAGUGCCAAUAAGACGGGAACGCUUCUUGGGAAGCGCCCCUCCACCUUCGCCCCUGCGUUUUUUCUUCUCCAAGGCCCCGGUGUUGCCGCUGCCCUUGGAGGGAUUCUUCCGCUUGCCCCCGACCGCUACCAAGGGAUCGCCCUUCGUUGUCUUCUUCCUUCAGCCGAGCUUCGGCAGCACGACGAGGGGCUUCAAUACCAAAGAAGGCGAACACACGGUUGUUCCGAGUGCCCCCCCCCCCCAACUUGGUCUUGAGUAAAGUGCGCUCCUUCGCAGCCUCGGCCCCAAUGGCUUCGUCCGCGAGCACCUCGACAGCGGCGGGGUCUACAUCUGCGAAGCAGGUGUUCAGGAAAAUAAUAAUAAUAAUAACGAUGGAAAAGGAAGGGCUAGUGAUUUACCAUCCUUCGUGAUCCCGAAAGAAGUGGAGAAGUUGGGCAUUGGGAGGCCACCCACACGUUUCUCCCUCCCCGCCCGCGAAGAUAUUGAUCACCCUUCGCGGACCGGGAAACACUUGCAUGCAAUGUACUCUUCGACAAUGUCUCAGAGUACCAAACACCUUGGACACUUCGCGAAGCAUUGCAACAUGAUUCUUCGCCUCCUCCGUCCCUUCGUCCACCUCCACAGACGGAAGCUCCCGGAGCAGACCGAUCUCCUUCACCACCAGAGGGUGGCUUUGCGUCGCUUCGGUAAGGGGGACCUUGUGGUAGAACCACAUUCCCGUCCAGUCCCCCCACCUGUUGCGAUAAGCAACGACUGGGCUUGGAACAGUAUUGUGAAAAGCGAAGGUGUACACACCGAAUUGAGGCUCCGCUUCCGAAGUCACUUCGCCCUUCUUCACGAACACCGUCUUUGGCUGAAAGUGACAUCUGAAGAGGCGAGCGAAGCCAGCAGCAGAAGGCUUCAUCUUGCAGGUCUUCGUCAACCACAUGUAAAGAUUGAGCCGAACGAAGGAGGUCGGUGUCAUCUGGUGGGUGUAGACGUCGAAGAGCUUGAAAAUCUCUAUCACCACCGGAUCCAGCGGGAACCGAAGGCCGGCGACGAAAAAAUCGUGGAAGACCACGACCUCGUCAUGUUCGGGCUUUGCUUCGGUCACCCCGGCCGGAGGAGCCCGUGUGAAGCCAACUUCAAGAAGACCUCGCCUCUCCAUGUCUUCGAUCAUGACUUGCGUCAUGUAACUCUUCCCAAGGAUGCAAGUAGGAGGAAAUCGAACCCGUUCGCACGGCGCCAUGUCCUGCGAAGAGUCCGUCUUCACCCAAAACGAAGAUGCCGGCGGACCAAGCAACGAACGUCAGGCGAAGUAGCAAAAUGAGAUCUCAAGCAAAGCGAAACUGAGGGCUGGGGGGCUCUGGCACAGACAACGUGAGGUCUCGCCCUCCCCGGGGGGCUGGCUUAUAUAGUGCCAGGCGCCCGCCACUCAGCGCCUGGGAGCGCACGCCUGCGAGGCAAAAGGUCUUUUUAGACCUUGUCCAAAUUGAAGGAAGCCGAAUCGACAUAGGGGUAAUAGUGUCUUUUAACAUAAUUCUUAAACAAUUUAUUUUCUUAAAUUUCAUAUUUUCACUAUUUAUUCUUUUCGCUGGAAAAACACGAAAAGAUUAACCUCACAAGCAGCGAAGCCUGCAUUUUUUCUCCAACUUUGUGACAUUACAGGUGUUCAGGUCGCCCUCGCGCGCUCGCUCGCCCGAAGGGUGGCGCUUGAGGCAGCGUUUCACGCACCGAGAAAUCGAGCCUCCAGAUGCUCCGAGGAGCACCCGCAGCCUCGAGGGGCUACUGUUGGGGAGCCACCUUCGAGCAGCGGUGCGAAAGCAAGAGGACCCGAAGACAAGACAAGAUGACCGAGCGCGCCCUGAUAAGCGAAGGCCUCGAAGCGAAGACCCUUCGACGAAGACCCAAGAGUGAGGGCUUCGGAUCUGGGGGCAACAAAUGGUUCCUGUCCAGCGCAGUGGCGAAGGGGAGACGGCAAAGGCUGAAGUGCGAAGGUUGACCAAGUGAGGAUGCGGUGAAGAAGUUGAGUGAUGAAGACCGAACCCGAAGCCCUGGUCGAAGAUACUCAUGGCGAAGUGUCCCGAAGAUGCGCUGAGGCCUACUUGUCAGUCUAGCUGUAAUUCCACUACAUUGUGUCGAUCGCUGUAACAUUACGAGAUUACCCUGGGAAUAUUCCCAGAUGCUGGCAGUUAGCGGGUAGUUAAGGGAUUUUGGCCAGGGAGUAGGUGAACCGUUGGGCUAUAAAUACCCCCCUGUAACUGUGUGAUGAUGAUUGAAAUGAUUGAAUACAGAGCAAUUACGCCCUUGCUUUGAUUUU